GGAAAAGAAACCAACAGGGAUUGCCCUAGUAACGGCGAGUGAAGCGGCACUAAUUUGAAAUCUGGCUCCUUCGGGGCCCGAGUUGUAAUUUGCAGAGGACGCCUCGGGUGCGGGUACCUACCGAGUUCCCUGGAACGGGACGCCAUAGAGGGUGAGAGCCCCGUCUGGUAGGACACCCAGCCCAUGUGAGGCUCCCUCGACGAGUCGAGUAGUUUGGGAAUGCUGCUCUAACGGGAGGUAUACUCCUUCCAAGGCUAAAUACCGGCUGGAGACCGAUAGCGCACAAGUAGAGUGAUCGAAAGAUGAAAAGCACUUUGAAAAGAGAGUCAAAUAGCACGUGAAAUUGUUGAAAGGGAAGCGCUCGCUACCAGACUUGGGUUCGGCGGUUCAACCGGGGCCACGCCCCGGGGCACUCCGCCGUCCCAGGCCAGCAUCAGCUUUCCGUCGGGGGCAAAGACGUCGGGAAUGUGGCUCCCCUCCGGGGGAGUGUUAUAGCCCGGCGUGUCAUACCCUUCGGGGGGCGACGCGCUUCUGCAAGGAUGCUGGCGUAAUGGUAGCUAGUGACCCG
Molecule: ribosomal RNA, 568 nt
Filed under: uncultured fungus
Lineage: Eukaryota; Fungi
Description: eukaryotic LSU rRNA
Rfam family: Eukaryotic large subunit ribosomal RNA
Source: RNAcentral